This 301-nucleotide ribosomal RNA is filed under the name uncultured bacterium. Its description in RNAcentral is "partial 16S ribosomal RNA". It matches the Rfam family "Bacterial small subunit ribosomal RNA", at positions 509 to 809 of the family's 1533-position model. The record is from RNAcentral.
CAGUAGCCGCGGUAAGACAGAGGAUGCAAGCGUUACUCGGAAUUACUGGGCGUAAAGCGUGCGUAGGUGGUGGUUUAAGUCCGUUGUGAAAGCCCUGGGCUCAACCUGGGAAUUGCAGUGGAUACUGGGUCACUAGAGUGUGGUAGAGGAUAGUGGAAUUUCCGGUGUAGCAGUGAAAUGCGUAGAGAUCGGAAGGAACAUCUGUGGCGAAGGCGACUAUCUGGGCCAACACUGACACUGAGGCACGAAAGCGUGGGGAGCAAACAGGAUUAGAUACCCGCGUAGUCCCUGUCUCUUAUAA